AUGCGCGGGCACAUUAAAAGCACCAAUUUCUCAUGGAUCACUGAAGUUAAGAACUGUUGCGCGUGAUUAGUAUCCCGAUGGGUGACCAUCUGGACAAUCGCGUACUGCUGACU
Molecule: ribosomal RNA, 113 nt
Filed under: Diaphorina citri (Asian citrus psyllid)
Lineage: Eukaryota; Metazoa; Arthropoda; Insecta; Hemiptera; Psyllidae
Source: RNAcentral